UUUUGUCAAUCACUAUUUGUAUUGGUUUUGUGAAGUGCUCCUGGCUUGUGUUAUUCGAGUUUUUCCCAUUCAUGUCAGUUAAACAGAGUGCCACUGAGAUCUUGUUGUCAGUGGAAGGGAGAGUUGCUACAAAUAAUCCCACAGAAAGUUUGCACUUUGUUUAAAAUAUAAAUUUUAAGAACGCUUUUGCAAUUUCAG
Long non-coding RNA from Etheostoma cragini (Arkansas darter), 198 nucleotides. RefSeq lists it as uncharacterized. The record is from RefSeq and is a predicted model, not a curated record. Lineage: Eukaryota; Metazoa; Chordata; Actinopteri; Perciformes; Percidae. The transcript has 3 exons.